CGUGUAGGCGGCCAGGUAGGUCUGCUGUGAAAACUCGAGGCUUAACCUCGAGAUGUCGGCGGAAACCAUCUGGCUAGAGUCCGGAAGAGGAGAGUGGAAUUCCUGGUGUAGCGGUGAAAUGCGCAGAUAUCAGGAAGAACACCCGUGGCGAAGGCGGCUCUCUGGGACGGUACUGACGCUGAGACUCGAAAGCGUGGGGAGCGAACA
RNAcentral lists this ribosomal RNA (207 nucleotides) under uncultured bacterium. RNAcentral's name for it is "partial 16S ribosomal RNA". It matches the Rfam family "Bacterial small subunit ribosomal RNA", at positions 568 to 774 of the family's 1533-position model. The record is from RNAcentral.